CUAAUCUUUACAAUUGUCUCUCUUGUAUGAGCUUUGGGUUUGACUUGCUCCUCCUUUUCUAGAAACUUGAGAUGUAGCAUUAGGUUAUUUAUUUGUUGUAGGGAGUGGUGUAACUGCCCCACUGCUGUCUCUCUGCCUCUCCCUCCUAUGGGCACAUAAUGCACCUGCCUACAUUAACCAUAGUCCUCUCCUACUUACGUCACAUACACAGACAUGAUGAUGACCCAUCAGAGAUUACCCCAUAGCCUCUUCGUGUCCCACCAGCCCACCCCUGCCAUAUAAAACCAGUGACCACUUUAUUAAUAAAUGAGACUUAAUUGGACUCCCUUGACUUGUCUCUGACACUCUGUGUCUGGCCCUGUCUGUGUUAAUCCCCAUCCCUUCUCCAGGAAACUGCCCCACAGAUCUGAAUUGACCUGCAGGCCGGGUCAAGUGGCGCCUGUCAUGGGGCUCUUGGCAUGAAGGGCUCAAUGAGGGAGCCAUCCUGAGACACACGCAUUGAAGUGAAACUAAAAGUUUUGUGACCAACGCUACGCAGGAGCCUGUUGCACCGCUAGAGUCAUGAGACAACACACCACGAGGGUGGGAAAGGAAGAUGCAUUUCGUGCUUUCCUCAAGAACAGAGGACAGGUGGUCUCAGCACUAUUAGGGACUUCUUUCAGCAGGUGAAGGCUUCCUGAGCCAGCACUGCCCAAUUCAAGGCAGAGAGAAGGUUGGGCUGGUCUCUCUGCAACUGGAGCAGGAGGCUGGUGUUCAACUCCACAAGAUGCCCCAGCUGAAUUGGACCAACCUGAGCUCACUGAAGCUGAGCCCUGCCUUCAGGAGGGAUUGGCCUGGGUCUGUGGGCCUCUGGGGAUUGCAUAAGACACUUUACAUGGAGAAAGACUGCCAGACUUGGGAUCUCUGGCAAGCCUGAGGCAUGUACAAGUGAGUGGGUCAAGGAAGAAUGAGAAACUUUGCUGGGGUGGAUUUGUGCACAGAGCUGUCUGUGACAGGCACUGUGAAGUUCUCGGGCCUGCAAGGAACAAGGACAGUUGGUGAUUGUUCUCCUUCUGUUGAUGCAAGGCUAGUACCUGAUGACCUGAAGUCGGACUUGCAGAGUUUGUGCCAGCUGGACUCCAGUGACCUCGCCAGCUCUGGGAUCAAAGUGAAAACUAAGGUUAGGCACCCUUUCUUAAGGAAUUUCAGAACUGGCGCUUUUACUAGCUCCAUGGCAAGAAUCCUGAGCUCCACUUCCAGCCAAGUGCUGCAGAGAACCUCUGUUCCCUUCCCCUUCCUUCCUUUGUACCCCUUGUAUUUCUUUCAGCUUUCAUUUUAGUCUUAUUAUCUAUAAUUGUUCUCAACAUUAAAGUCUAAGAUAAUUUUAAUUAAAAGUUAAGAUGUCAUUAGUUUCAACAUGUUCAAUUCAGUAGCACAUAAGGACAUCAUCAACUUGUACAAUUUCUACAUCUAUUGAUUUCUAGCUUUCUGUUCAGUGUUGGACUCAUCCAUAUGCCUGUACUCUUCUACUAGUCCCAACCCACCUCUGAUUUUUCUCUCACUGUGAUUUGCUACUCUGGGUCGUUAAUAUUCAAGCAUCAGAUUAUGUUUGGCCAAACAUUACUGGAGGAGACUGGCUACCAUUGCUUUUUCAUAGAAGAGAAAAUCCCAAAUAACCAAAAUCUACAGCGAAAAUGUAAGAAAUCUACUGAUCUUUUCAUGUUGGAAAAGCUUUCCCAUGAUAGAAGGGAGAGAGAAAGAUCUGAUUCACUGCAUUUGAAAAACAGAAAAAGAAUAAUGUAGAAUCCACAAUAAGAAAUCUUUCCUUACAAGCAAUAGGCAGAGAGUUUGUAUUAGAGGUGUCAAAGAGGUGUCUAUGAGUCCAUUCUGUGAGAGAUGAAAAAUUCUUCUAACUCAAAAGAGAACCACCAAGUGUGGCCAACGAAUGGAGAAGACGCUGGGCCCCACAAGGGUGAUUCAUUCAGGAAUACAUCCCUGACAUGUGCUGUGAUCCCAUCUGAUGGCAGACUUUAAGGCAAGUGCUGAACAGUACUGAGAAGAACAUGGUGGGUGGGGCAGAGCCCUGUCCAGAAGCUCCCAUCACAGCUCUCACAGGUGUCCCCAGACUUUGAGGUCUAAAAAUAGAGAUUUAUCCUACACAGAGAUCUGUAUAACUUUUCAAGCUUUCUUUUCAAGACUGUUGUUCACAACACUGCUUGAAGCAGGAGGAAAAUGUGAUCCUUGCUACCCUCAACGUAGAAGGUGCGGGGCAUCAGUGUGGGUCAGGAGAACCAGGAAAAGCUGUGCAGAUGCUGAGCUUGAUCUCUCUGGGCCACAGGGUAAGAGGACAAGGAAUCUGAUCAUGAAAUAAUACAUGGAUGAGAGAAGGAUGUGUGUUCAAAGUCAGAGGAUACUGACUUUGAAAAUGCAAUGUCUCUGACAUCAAUGUGCGUCCACACACAGACAUGUAAGAAUCUAUGUUCAAGAAUGGUGUCUCAGCAGUGUAGCUACUUAUGGAAACCCUGGCUCAAUAUAAAAAAGAAUUUUAAAACAGAAUUUAGUGUAGUUCAGUGCAUGGCCAUGCGCUAUAAUUCACAGAAUUAUGUUAAGGAAAAAACACAGACAAACUGGGAGCGAUGUGAGGGGCUGUAGAGCACCAUCACCUGGUCUUCUGGAGAGCAGUGUGCCCCAACUAUCUUGAGCCUCCACACCUUUCUUGGGCACAUUGAUUUAAAAAAAUGAUCAAUUCCAUGAAGGAGGGGGAAAGGAGGAUAUUCACCCAAGAAUACAAAGUCUCAGUCACAAUGGAGAAGAAAUGUUCAAUUUUACAAUAAACUGAAUGGUGACCACAGUUAAUAAGAAGUAUAGCUUUCAAAACUGCUAAACAAUGAGAUUGGCAGUCCCAUUCACUGUGAAACAAUCUGUAGGUAAGGUGGUAGACACAUUAACUUGAUUGAUUCUUUCUACAAAGGAGCCAUAGAUCACAAGUGCAUGUCAUCCCACAAACAUACAUAAUUAUUGUGAAUUGCCAAGUGAAGAUACCUUAUACCUGCACUCUCAGCAUUCUGGGAGGCUAAGGUAGGAGGACCACAAGUUUAAACCCAAUCUGGGGAAUUGAGUAAAUUAUUUAAAGUCUGUCUCAAAAAUUAAAAAAAAAAACUAAA
Cavia porcellus (domestic guinea pig) is the source of this 3143-nucleotide long non-coding RNA. RefSeq lists it as uncharacterized. The transcript is spliced from 2 exons. Lineage: Eukaryota; Metazoa; Chordata; Mammalia; Rodentia; Caviidae. The record is from RefSeq and is a predicted model, not a curated record.